RNAcentral lists this ribosomal RNA (468 nucleotides) under uncultured bacterium. RNAcentral describes it as "partial 16S ribosomal RNA". It matches the Rfam family "Bacterial small subunit ribosomal RNA", at positions 28 to 507 of the family's 1533-position model. The record is from RNAcentral.
GACGAACGCUGGCGGCGUGCUUAACACAUGCAAGUCGAACGGAAAGGCCCUGCUUUUGUGGGGUGCUCGAGUGGCGAACGGGUGAGUAACACGUGAGUAACCUGCCCUUGACGUUGGGAUAACUUCAGGAAACUGGGGCUAAUACCGGAUAGGAGCUCCUGCUGCAUGGUGGGGGUUGGAAAGUUUCGGCGGUUGGGGAUGGACUCGCGGCUUAUCAGCUUGUUGGUGGGGUAGUGGCUUACCAAGGCUUUGACGGGUAGCCGGCCUGAGGGGGUGACCGGCCACAUUGGGACUGAGAUACGGCCCAGACUCCUACGGGAGGCAGCAGUGGGGAAUAUUGCACAAUGGGCGGAAGCCUGAUGCAGCCACGCCGCGUGCGGGAUGACGGCCUUCGGGUUGUAAACCGCUUUCGCCUGUGACGAAGCGUGAGUGACGGUAAUGGGUAAAGAAGCACCGGCUAACUACGUG